GACAUUUGGUAGAGACUGUUGAAGGCACCUGGUCCCAGCAGACCCCAGAAGGCGGCCACAGUCGCUGGUGCUGGGGCAAGGUUGUUAAGGGUGAAGCCUGGUGCCAGAUGUGU
Ribosomal RNA from Panthera pardus (leopard), 113 nucleotides. Lineage: Eukaryota; Metazoa; Chordata; Mammalia; Carnivora; Felidae. The record is from Ensembl.